RNAcentral lists this ribosomal RNA (301 nucleotides) under uncultured bacterium. RNAcentral describes it as "partial 16S ribosomal RNA". It matches the Rfam family "Bacterial small subunit ribosomal RNA", at positions 509 to 809 of the family's 1533-position model. The record is from RNAcentral.
CAGUCGCCACGGUAAGACGGAGGGUGCUAGCGUUGUUCGGAAUCACUGGGCGUAAAGGGCGCGUAGGCGGCCUGUUAAGUCGGAUGUGAAAGCCCGGGGCUCAACCCCGGAACUGCAUCCGAGACUGGCAGGCUUGAGACCGGGAGAGGAGGGUGGAAUAUCCAGUGUAGAGGUGAAAUUCGUAGAUAUUGGAUGGAACACCGGUGGCGAAAGCGGCUCUCUGGCCCGGAUCUGACGCUGAGGCGCGAAAGCGUGGGGAGCAAACAGGAUUAGAUACCCGAGUAGUCCCUGUCUCUUAUAA